GACGAACGCUGGCGGCGUGCUUAACACAUGCAAGUCGAACGGAAAGGCCCUGCUGUUGUGGGGUGCUCGAAUGGCGAACGGGUGAGUAACACGUGAGUAACCUGUCCUUGACUUUGGGAUAACUUCAGGAAACUGGGGCUAAUACCGGAUAGGAGCUACUGCUGCAUGGUGGGGGUUGGAAAGUUUCGGUGGUUGGGGAUGGACUCGCGGCUUAUCAGGUUGUUGGGGGGGUAGUGGCUUACCAAGGCUUUGACCGGUAGCCGGCCUGAGAGGGUGACCGGCCACGUUGGGACUGAGAUGCGACCCGGACUCCUACGGGAGGCAGCGGUGGGGAAUAGUGCACUAUGGGCGGAAGCCUAAUGCAGCAACGCCGCGUGCGGGAUGACGGCCUUCGGGUUGUAUUCCGCUUUCGCCUGUGACGAAGCGUGAGUGACGGUAAUGGGUGAAGAAGCACCGGCUAACUACGUG
RNAcentral lists this ribosomal RNA (468 nucleotides) under uncultured bacterium. RNAcentral's name for it is "partial 16S ribosomal RNA". It matches the Rfam family "Bacterial small subunit ribosomal RNA", at positions 28 to 507 of the family's 1533-position model. The record is from RNAcentral.